Molecule: ribosomal RNA, 493 nt
Filed under: uncultured bacterium
Lineage: Bacteria
Description: partial 16S ribosomal RNA
Rfam family: Bacterial small subunit ribosomal RNA
Source: RNAcentral
GACGAACGCUGGCGGCGUGCCUAACACAUGCAAGUUGAGCGACGAACCAGGGCUUGCCCUGGGUCAAAGCAGCGAACGGGUGAGUAACACGUGGGUAACCUACCCCGAUAACCGGGACAACCCGAGGAAACUCGGGCUAAUACCGGAUGUGCUCACUGGACUUCGGUUCAGUGCGUAAAAGAAGCUUCGGCCUCCGGAUCGGAAGGGGCCCGCGGCCCGUUGGAUUGUUGGUGGGGUAACGGCUCACCAAGACCGCGAUGGGUAGCUGGGCUGAGAGGAGGAUAGGCCACACUGGAACUGGGACGGGGCCCAGGCUACUACGGGAGGCAGCAGUGGGGAAUCUUGCGCAAUGCGCGAAAGCGUGACGCAGCAACGCCGCGUGGGGGAAGAAGGCCUUCGGGUUGUAAACCCCUUUCAGGAGGGACGAAGGUUCGGCGGUGAAUAGCCGUCCGGACUGACGGUACCUCCACAAGAAGCCCCGGCUAACUACGUG